GAUUAGUAAGUUGCUUAUAAAUAUGAUUACACAUCUAGCUAACUAAUAUCAAUUUUGGAGAUGAACACAUAUGGCUGCACAUUAUUGUGAACAACUUAAAUAUUGCUAUAAUAAGUUAGUUCAAGUAUUAAUUACCUGACAAGAAAUACAAGACACAGGUGCAUUUGUACCUUAAAUUUCUUUUCCUUUUUCAUUUUCUUCUCUAUCUUCUCCUCCAAACACUUUUGUUUAGCUUGCUGCGUGGUUCAGUUGGGAACUUCAAGAAUACUUUUCUUCUCCUUUAGCUAUUAAGAAGUUUUUUCUUUUCCUUUUUCAUUUUCUUCUCUAUCUUCUCCUCCAGACACUUUUGUUUAGCUUGCUGCGUGGUUCAGUUGGGGACUUCAAGAAUACUUUUCUUCUCCUUUAGCUAUUACGAAGUUUAAACUUUAGUCCUACACAUAAUAGUAGUAAAGUAAUGUUUAUUUCUAAAAAAAUAAAAUAAAUUUUUUAUAUAUUGUGAGAGUAGUAAUUAAUAUGUGAAAAGGAGACAUGAAGGAUGAAGGUAUACAUAGAGGGAGCUACUGAUACUAUGCUAUCAGAUUAGUACUGAUCAGUAUUUUUACCACUACAAUCGAAAGAAGAAUUAAAUAUAACAGGGGACAACUAAUCAUAGUUAAUUAGAUUGAUACGAAUCAAUACGAUUAUCAAUGGAAAUAGAAAGCAAAAUAAAAUAUACCUAUUCUUAUAGUUAUCAACUUUUCAGGUUACUACUUGCAUUUAUGACGUGAGAUUAUUUAUAGUUAUCUUUUAAAUGAUCUAAUAUGUAAAAGUUAUUAUAUAUUAAUGAAGGAUAAAUUAUUGUAAGUCAACUUACUCUGAUAGAAACUAUACUUGCUAUCUACAUAUGUUCCCAUUUCUUAAAGUUAUCUUAUUUGACUAGCUAUAGAAAUAUUUGUUGCACAAAAUACUACUUCUAAGCAUGCUAGUUGGGAUGUUAGGAAAAUAUUUGAAUCAAGGACAUGGUGACCAUUCCAGAAGAGAAAAGAAAUGAGGUGAUGUAUCAGAUCAUACUGCACAAACACUUUUUUCACUUUUCUCUCCUUGCCUCCUUAAUCUAGCAUAGACCAUACAAAUGCAUCAAAUCAGACUGCACAAACACUCUUUAUAAUUUAACCAAACAAAAGAGGGAAGUAAUGCAAACCUAGAAGAAAAGCAAAGAAAAGCAGAAUUGUCAGUUACACUUAAAUGAGCAUUAAAUCAAACAUAUGAGAAAGAUAAGAAAUUAAACACUAAACAAGCAAACAAUCUGGCAUCUCGAGAUAAUAUGAAUUAUCAUAACAUGAAUUAUCAUAACAUGAAAGAACUUGUAAAUAUAAGAUUUAUUUGAAUCUAUAUCAGCAAGAUUAAUUUACAUGCAUGAAAGGUUCAUUUGAAUAACAUUAAAGAAAAUAUUCACCAAGAUUAAGUUAUAGUAAGUGAUAAACUUAAUUAUGAUAAAUCAGAACAAACUAUUGAUGCAUAUAAAAGUCAAAUAAAAAAGGCCCAUUAAAAUCAAGUUUUCUUAAGAGAUAAAUUGAAUGAACAUAUCUUGAAGCCUAUGAAAAAGAUGAAAUCUUUCUACACGAUAAACUUGAUAAAUACACUUUUUAGCUGAGAGUCUAUCAAAAACACCUGGUUUAUGACAAAGUAGGUAAGGUCUUCGUACAUCCUACCCUCCCUAGACCUCUCUUAGGAAAUUACAUUGGAUAAAUUCUCCCUAGACAUCAAUUCAUUCCAUGGUUGGCACUACAUCGCAAACUAUUCACAAUCGAUAGAUUCACUAAAUGGGGCAUUCACGUUGAUCUACAGUGUGUACUGUGCUUGACCACUACUAAGGAAACACAUGCUCAAUUUUUUUUAAUGUGAUUACUCUAGGUAUAUUUGACAGUCCCUACUUGAUUGAUCGAUUGGGUCUUGAGAGGAAGAGGUGCAUUGUCUAGAAUCUCUUAUCACACUUAGUAGACCAAAGACUAGGAUAUUAGACUUUCUAUUUGCUGCAACUGUGUACCACGUGUGGACUGAAAGGAACUAUAGAAGAUUUCAAUAGCAACAACAAGAUAGGCAAGUAAAAUUGAAGGAGAUAGCACUACAACUUCAUAUCGUAGGUCAAAACAAGAUUAAAAAGAGGAAAUGCCUAACUAUGUUGAAAUCAAACUCUCUCAAAUAACAGUACAAUAAAUUAGAACGUACAUACUAUCAAAUUUGGAUGAAAGUACAAUUAACAAACUUUCAAUUACCACGGUAAACCAGGAAAAUAAGAUGAAUUUGAAUCAAAUAUAAGGUUUCCUUUUUUCAUAUUGUGCUACAAGUAUUACUACUUUUAUGUUUUUAAUAUGCAUAGCAUAAGCUAGUGACUGAAUUUGCAUUCUAGAAAAGGUGAAUAAAAUUCAAUAGAACAAAAGAAUGUCUAGUAACUCUGGUAGAACCCUUCAGGCACUAUUACAAACUCAAUUAAAAAGACACGAACAUAAAUGAGGUCACAAGCAUUACUAUUAAAUUAAAAGAGUAUCACAAUAUCACACAAUUCAACAAGCAGAAUUCCCCUAACUUCAUAAAAAAAAACUAUCAGAAUCUCCUGACAAAUUAAACGAAAUACCUAGCAGAUUCCCAGGUGAAUGAAAGCUAUAACCAACUAAAUUUUACAUAAGAAUCAAAGCAUAUGAAAAAAUUCUAGAAGAAAGCAACUUUUCAGGCACAUACCUUAAAAAAUAGAUUCACAUUCCUAAAAAUCUCAGAAUAAAGCAACUAUUUCUCUUUUGUUGAAGAUGGAUUAACGAUUUAGGUACCGUGUGCUAUAACAAUACUGAUGGUCUCCAAGUCUCAAGUCUCUAACAUAGUACAAUGGUCUUAACGAGAAGAGUGAAAAAAUGGAAAAGUAUUGAUGGGUUAGCCGAAGGUCUCUCACAACGAUGAAUUAGACCUAACUGCUUGUUGAAGAAAGGGUUAGGUCAAUCUCUUGUUCCAGAAGAGAGGGUUUUGGAAGAGGAUUCUGGUAGAAAGAAAAAUAAGACAAUAUAUAUAUCCC
This 3043-nucleotide long non-coding RNA is filed under the name Solanum tuberosum (potato). RNAcentral's name for it is "long non-coding RNA (STUB_LNC001753)". The record is from RNAcentral. Lineage: Eukaryota; Viridiplantae; Streptophyta; Magnoliopsida; Solanales; Solanaceae.